This 467-nucleotide ribosomal RNA is filed under the name uncultured Sphingobacteriales bacterium. Its description in RNAcentral is "bacterial SSU rRNA". It matches the Rfam family "Bacterial small subunit ribosomal RNA", at positions 916 to 1381 of the family's 1533-position model. Lineage: Bacteria; Pseudomonadati; Bacteroidota; Sphingobacteriia; Sphingobacteriales. The record is from RNAcentral.
ACGGGGCCCGCACAAGCGGUGGAGCAUGUGUUUAAUUCGACGCAACGCGAAGAACCUUACCAGGGCUUGACAUCCCCUGACCGCGUAUGAAAGUACGUUUCACCUCGGGUGACAGGGAGACAGGUGGUGCAUGGUUGUCGUCAGCUCGUGUCGUGAGAUGUUGGGUUAAGUCCCGCAACGAGCGCAACCCUUAUCGUUAGUUGCCAGCGGGUAAUGCCGGGAACUCUAGCGAAACUGCCGGUGUAAACCGAGAGGAAGGUGGGAUGACGUCAAAUCAGCACGGCCCUUAUGUCCAGGGCUACACACGUGUUACAAUGGCCGGUACAGAGGGCAGCUACCUGGAGACAGGAUGCGAAUCUCGAAAGCCGGUCUCAGUUCGGAUCGGAGUCUGCAACCCGACUCCGUGAAGCUGGAUUCGCUAGUAAUCGCGCAUCAGCCAUGGCGCGGUGAAUACGUUCCCGGGCCUU